GUUAAGCGACUAAGCGUACACGGUGGAUGCCCUGGCAGUCAGAGGCGAUGAAGGACGUGCUAAUCUGCGAUAAGCGUCGGUAAGGUGAUAUGAACCGUUAUAACCGGCGAUUUCCGAAUGGGGAAACCCAGUGUGUUUCGACACACUAUCAUUAACUGAAUCCAUAGGUUAAUGAGGCGAACCGGGGGAACUGAAACAUCUAAGUACCCCGAGGAAAAGAAAUCAACCGAGAUUCCCCCAGUAGCGGCGAGCGAACGGGGAGCAGCCCAGAGCCUGAAUCAGUGUGUGUGUUAGUGGAAGCGUCUGGAAAGGCGCGCGAUACAGGGUGACAGCCCCGUACACAAAAAUGCACAUGCUGUGAGCUCGAUGAGUAGGGCGGGACACGUGGUAUCCUGUCUGAAUAUGGGGGGACCAUCCUCCAAGGCUAAAUACUCCUGACUGACCGAUAGUGAACCAGUACCGUGAGGGAAAGGCGAAAAGAACCCCGGCGAGGGGAGUGAAAAAGAACCUGAAACCGUGUACGUACAAGCAGUGGGAGCACGCUUAGGCGUGUGACUGCGUACCUUUUGUAUAAUGGGUCAGCGACUUAUAUUCUGUAGCAAGGUUAACCGAAUAGGGGAGCCGAAGGGAAACCGAGUCUUAACUGGGCGUUAAGUUGCAGGGUAUAGACCCGAAACCCGGUGAUCUAGCCAUGGGCAGGUUGAAGGUUGGGUAACACUAACUGGAGGACCGAACCGACUAAUGUUGAAAAAUUAGCGGAUGACUUGUGGCUGGGGGUGAAAGGCCAAUCAAACCGGGAGAUAGCUGGUUCUCCCCGAAAGCUAUUUAGGUAGCGCCUCGUGAAUUCAUCUCCGGGGGUAGAGCACUGUUUCGGCAAGGGGGUCAUCCCGACUUACCAACCCGAUGCAAACUGCGAAUACCGGAGAAUGUUAUCACGGGAGACACACGGCGGGUGCUAACGUCCGUCGUGAAGAGGGAAACAACCCAGACCGCCAGCUAAGGUCCCAAAGUCAUGGUUAAGUGGGAAACGAUGUGGGAAGGCCCAGACAGCCAGGAUGUUGGCUUAGAAGCAGCCAUCAUUUAAAGAAAGCGUAAUAGCUCACUGGUCGAGUCGGCCUGCGCGGAAGAUGUAACGGGGCUAAACCAUGCACCGAAGCUGCGGCAGCGACGCUGAUGCGUUGUUGGGUAGGGGAGCGUUCUGUAAGCCUGCGAAGGUGUGCUGUGAGGCAUGCUGGAGGUAUCAGAAGUGCGAAUGCUGACAUAAGUAACGAUAAAGC
This 1277-nucleotide ribosomal RNA is filed under the name Escherichia coli. RNAcentral's name for it is "partial 23S ribosomal RNA". It matches the Rfam family "Bacterial large subunit ribosomal RNA", at positions 1 to 1318 of the family's 2925-position model. Lineage: Bacteria; Pseudomonadati; Pseudomonadota; Gammaproteobacteria; Enterobacterales; Enterobacteriaceae. The record is from RNAcentral.